This 531-nucleotide long non-coding RNA is filed under the name Homo sapiens (human). RNAcentral's name for it is "HSALNT0310325". The record is from RNAcentral. Lineage: Eukaryota; Metazoa; Chordata; Mammalia; Primates; Hominidae.
GGUCUGUCGCGAGCAACCCUACACCAUGCACCAGCGCCACUGCUCCCAGCAGGAGUGGGUUUUGCAGCGGUGGCGGCAGCCCCGCGCCCAGGCCGAGCAGAGUCAGGGCUGCCAGCGCCUGUGGUUGGCAAGUCAUUUAACUUUUCCAAACAAAUCUGCAAAAUGGAGAUAACAGCACCUGCCUCAUUGCGUUGUGAAGAAGAUGAAAUGUUUAGCCCGGUGCCCAACACCCAGUUCUCACUCUGUCAUCCAGGCUGGUGUGCAGUGGUGCAAUGUGGGCUUACUGCAGCCUUGACCUCCAGGACAAGUGAUCUCCCACCUCAGCCUCCGGAAUAGCUGGGACUACAGCUCAACAACGCCCCUCUGAAAGUAGGACUCUUGGAAAUGAACCUUGUUGGGAGUAAAGCUGAACCUUCACCUCUCCUUUCCAGGAUUCUACUCCAUUCAUACGGCCUCACACUGAAUUAAUGUUUCUAGCAGCCACAUUACUUUGUUACCCAAUUGAUCUAGUAGUAAAGUCUUCCCAUCUCU